This 301-nucleotide ribosomal RNA is filed under the name uncultured bacterium. Its description in RNAcentral is "partial 16S ribosomal RNA". It matches the Rfam family "Archaeal small subunit ribosomal RNA", at positions 459 to 761 of the family's 1478-position model. The record is from RNAcentral.
CAGUCGCCGCGGGAAUACCAGCACCUCGAGUGGUCAGGAGGUUUAUUGGGCCUAAAGCAUCCGUAGCCGGUUGCAUAAGUUUUCGGUUAAAUCUAUGCGCUUAACGUAUAGGCCGCCGAAAAUACUGUGCAGCUAGGGAGUGGGAGAGGUACACGGUACUCGAUAGGAAGGGGUAAAAUCCUUUGAUCUAUUGAUGACCACCUGUGGCGAAGGCGGUGUACCAGAACACGUUCGAUGGUGAGGGAUGAAAGCUGGGGGAGUAAACCGGAUUAGAUACCGCGUAGUCCCUGUCUCUUAUACU